GCACGCUGAAUACAUAGGCCAUACUAUGUAUCAUAAAACAGUCAAGCUCGAACUGGUACCAAUUCAGAACCGGCCACUCAGGGUAGACAUGAGAUGGUCUCAACAGAACUUCCUGCGGUACCGCACGAAAAUAAAAACCUAAUAUGAUCCGACGUACAAUUACGGGAAACGAUCAUAACCCCUUAAUCUUGCCAGAUCCUGACAUCCUUUUUUACUUUGACGAAUGAUUUUAUUACAAAAUAUAAAUGAAUAAUUAGAAUCAAGUAAUCAAGAUAAAUGCUGCAUGAUCUUUAUCCAAAUAAAGUCAAAAGUUAAAUGCAUUCCAGGCGAAGAACUAAUAGCAGGUAUUGAUAAUUCCAUUCUGACACUACUGGUGUCUGAAUAUUUAGAUAAAGGUGAUAGCCAUUCAUGAAAAAUUACAUUGACAUAUAUAGUUCUCGAACGUAUGAUUCAGCUAGCAAAUCCAUCGGCUUGUUUGUCUCCUCUUUUUUGUCAAAAAAAAUAUAGAUCCGGCCUGUUCUGGUCAUUCUGAAAAGAUACAAAACAGCAGCAGACACAAGAAUUGUUAUUAGAUGGGAGAUUGCAAGGGAGGUGGGUGGGUUUUUGAAACUUUUACAUAUCUGGCUACAAGAGUGGCUAGUGCAAUGUAAUGCUGACGAGUCAUGUGACGUUGAUUGGCGGGAAACGAGAACCGGAUCCGAUUUAGAUGCAGUAAUCAUUUCUUUUUAAUUAAAUUGGUUUAUCUUAUGAAAGAGAUAAACCGUAUUAAUCAAAGAAUCAAGUUUCAGGCAAAAACAUAACAAACAAAUAACUAAUGUGGAAAUAACGGCCACAGUUCACUUAGAAUGACGAGGUCUGACAUGAUUACAGAAUGCCGACAUGAUUGAUUUUAUCUGACAAAUCUGUGCACCAUUGGUAGCAAUGGAUGCUCAAGUUCCUCAAGGUUCAGCCUAAAGAGAACGAGGGUUAUGAUCCCCAAAUACGUCGGGUCUUAUUCGCAUCACCCCUUGGUUUCAGGGGAGUAAAGAUUAACAGUUUCUAUAUCAUAAAACUCUAUAUGCACACUGAAUACAUAGGCCAUACUAUGUAUCAUAAAACAGUCAAGCUCGAACUGGUACCAAUUCAGAACCGGCCACUCAGGGUAGACAUGAGAUGGUCUCAACAGAACUUCCUGCGGUACCGCAGGAAAGUAAAAACCUAAUAUGAUCCGACGUACAAUUACGGGAAACGAUCAUAACCCCUUAAUCUUGCCACUUGAGUGUGUCUAUACACAAUCAUCAAAAUCCCCCCCCCCCUUUCCUUUU
Molecule: long non-coding RNA, 1304 nt
Filed under: Mytilus galloprovincialis (Mediterranean mussel)
Lineage: Eukaryota; Metazoa; Mollusca; Bivalvia; Mytilida; Mytilidae
Source: RNAcentral